RNAcentral lists this ribosomal RNA (253 nucleotides) under uncultured bacterium. RNAcentral's name for it is "partial 16S ribosomal RNA". It matches the Rfam family "Bacterial small subunit ribosomal RNA", at positions 524 to 776 of the family's 1533-position model. The record is from RNAcentral.
UACAGAGGUGGCAAGCGUUGUUCGGAAUUACCGGGCGUAAAGGGCGCGUAGGUGGCCAUCUAAGUCAGACGUGAAAUCCCCCGGCUUAACCUGGGAACUGCGUCUGAUACUGGACGGCUUGAGUAUGGGAGAGGAACGUAGAAUUCCAGGUGUAGCGGUGAAAUGCGUAGAUAUCAAGAGGAACACCAGUGGCGAAGGCGAGUCCCUGGACGAUACCUGACACUGAGGCACGAAAGCCAAGGGAGCAAACAGG